AUACGGAGGGUGCAAGCGUUAAUCGGAAUUACUGGGCGUAAAGGGUUCGUAGGCGGUUAUUUAAGUCAGAUGUGAAAGCCCCGGGCUCAACCUGGGAAUUGCAUCUGAUACUGGGUAACUAGAGUUUAAGAGAGGAGUGUGGAAUUUCCGGUGUAGCGGUGAAAUGCAUAGAGAUCGGAAGGAACAUCAGUGGCGAGGGCGGCACUCUGGCUUAAAACUGACGCUGAGGAACGAAAGCGUGGGUAGCAAACAGCAUUAGAAACCCUAGUAGUCC
Molecule: ribosomal RNA, 274 nt
Filed under: uncultured bacterium
Lineage: Bacteria
Description: partial 16S ribosomal RNA
Rfam family: Bacterial small subunit ribosomal RNA
Source: RNAcentral